UACGUAGGGGGCAAGCGUUGUCCGGAUUUAUUGGGCGUAAAGAGCGUGUAGGCGGCUUUGCAAGUCCGUUGUGAAAACUCGAGGCUCAACCUCGAGACGCCGGUGGAAACUGCAAAGCUAGAGUCCGGAAGAGGAGAGUGGAAUUCCUGGUGUAGCGGUGAAAUGCGCAGAUAUCGGGAAGAACACCCGUGGCGAAGGCGGCUCUCUGGGACGGUACUGACGCUGAGACGCGAAAGCGUGGGGAGCGAACAGG
This 253-nucleotide ribosomal RNA is filed under the name uncultured bacterium. RNAcentral describes it as "partial 16S ribosomal RNA". It matches the Rfam family "Bacterial small subunit ribosomal RNA", at positions 524 to 776 of the family's 1533-position model. The record is from RNAcentral.